GACGAACGCUGGCGGCGUGCUUAACACAUGCAAGUCGAACGAAGAGCGACGGAAGCUUGCUUCUAUCAAUCUUAGUGGCGCACGGGUGAGUAACGCGUAAUCAACCUGCCCUUCAGAGGGGGACAACAGUUGGAAACGACUGCUAAUACCGCAUACGAUCUAAUCUCGGCAUCGAGGAUGGAUGAAAGGUGGCCUCUACAUGUAAGCUAUCACUGAAGGAGGGGAUUGCGUCUGAUUAGCUAGUUGGAGGGGUAACGGCCCACCAAGGCGAUGAUCAGUAGCCGGUCUGAGAGGAUGAACGGCCACAUUGGGACUGGGACACGGCCCAGACUCCUACGGGAGGCAGCAGGGGGGAAUCUUCCGCAAUGGACGAAAGUCUGACGGAGCAACGCCGCGGGAGUGAUGACGGCCGUCGGGUUGUAAAGCUCUGUUAAUCGGGACGAAAGGCCUUCUUGCGAAUAGUGAGAAGGAUUGACGGUACCGGAAUAGAAAGCCACGGCUAACUACGUG
This 510-nucleotide ribosomal RNA is filed under the name uncultured bacterium. RNAcentral's name for it is "partial 16S ribosomal RNA". It matches the Rfam family "Bacterial small subunit ribosomal RNA", at positions 28 to 507 of the family's 1533-position model. The record is from RNAcentral.